RNAcentral lists this ribosomal RNA (431 nucleotides) under uncultured bacterium. RNAcentral describes it as "bacterial SSU rRNA". It matches the Rfam family "Bacterial small subunit ribosomal RNA", at positions 917 to 1349 of the family's 1533-position model. The record is from RNAcentral.
GGGCCCGCACAAGCGGUGGAGUAUGUGGUUUAAUUCGAUGCAACGCGAAGAACCUUACCAGGGUUUGACAUCCUGCGAAUCUCUUGGAAACGAGAGAGUGCCUUCGGGAACGCAGUGACAGGUGGUGCAUGGCUGUCGUCAGCUCGUGUCGUGAGAUGUUGGGUUAAGUCCCGCAACGAGCGCAACCCACGUCUUUAGUUGCCAGCAUUUAGUUGGGCACUCUAGAGAGACUGCCGGUGAUAAACCGGAGGAAGGUGUGGAUGACGUCAAGUCAUCAUGCCCCUUACAUCCUGGGCUACACACGUACUACAAUGCUACGGACAAAGAGCAGCAAGUUCGCGAGGACAAGCAAAUCUCAUAAACCGUGGCUCAGUUCAGAUCGUAGGCUGCAACUCGCCUACGUGAAGGAGGAAUCGCUAGUAAUCGUGGAU